This is a long non-coding RNA of Alosa sapidissima (American shad), 99 nucleotides long. RefSeq lists it as uncharacterized. NCBI's taxonomy places the organism in Eukaryota, Metazoa, Chordata, Actinopteri, Clupeiformes, Clupeidae. The record is from RefSeq and is a predicted model, not a curated record. The transcript is spliced from 3 exons.
UCUUCAAGGACUUGAAAGACUUUAGCACCAAAAAUGUAACAGUGGUAUUGAAUGUGUAUACUGCAGAAUAUUACAGAGAGAAAAAAACAAAAAACAAAU